RNAcentral lists this ribosomal RNA (433 nucleotides) under uncultured bacterium. RNAcentral's name for it is "partial 16S ribosomal RNA". It matches the Rfam family "Bacterial small subunit ribosomal RNA", at positions 29 to 507 of the family's 1533-position model. The record is from RNAcentral.
AGCGAACGCUGGCGGCAUGCCUAACACAUGCAAGUCGAACGAACUCUUCGGGGUUAGUGGCGGACGGGUGAGUAACACGUGGGAACGUGCCUUUUGGUUCGGAAUAACUCAGGGAAACUUGUGCUAAUACCGAAUGUGCCCUUCGGGGGAAAGAUUUAUCGCCAUUAGAUCGGCCCGCGUCUGAUUAGCUAGUUGGUGAGGUAACGGCUCACCAAGGCGACGAUCAGUAGCUGGUCUGAGAGGAUGACCAGCCACACUGGGACUGAGACACGGCCCAGACUCCUACGGGAGGCAGCAGUGGGGAAUCUUGCGCAAUGGGCGAAAGCCUGACGCAGCCAUGCCGCGUGAAUGAUGAAGGUCUUAGGAUUGUAAAAUUCUUUCACCGGGGACGAUAAUGACGGUACCCGGAGAAGAAGCCCCGGCUAACUUCGUG